AGUUCAGUGGUCUAAGGGUUAUGAUAUCUGCUUCACAUCGGGUGAAGAUCACGCAGAUGGUUCAGGGUUCGAGACCCUGCUGAACUA
Non-coding RNA from Plicaturopsis crispa FD-325 SS-3, 87 nucleotides. Lineage: Eukaryota; Fungi; Basidiomycota; Agaricomycetes; Amylocorticiales; Amylocorticiaceae. The record is from the annotation of a GenBank genome assembly.